GUGUCCUAGUGGUUAGAGCAUCUGCCUUGGAUGCGGGAAGUCGUGGGUUCGAUUCCCCAGUCGAGUCA
Molecule: non-coding RNA, 68 nt
Organism: Potamilus streckersoni
Lineage: Eukaryota; Metazoa; Mollusca; Bivalvia; Unionida; Unionidae
Source: the annotation of a GenBank genome assembly